Molecule: unclassified non-coding RNA, 214 nt
Filed under: Hevea brasiliensis (rubber tree)
Lineage: Eukaryota; Viridiplantae; Streptophyta; Magnoliopsida; Malpighiales; Euphorbiaceae
Source: RNAcentral
UGCAUGUUUUUUUAAAGGGGAAGAAAAAGAGCGCGUAAAAAUUAUAUUAGACUGCUGUGGUUUUUAUGCAGAAAGUGGAAUCCGUAGUCUGCUUGAUAAGUCUCUAGUAACUAUUUUCAUGGAGAGGUUGCAGAUGCAUGACUUAUUACAACAAAUGGGUAAGGAUAUUGUUUGCGAGGAAAAAGAGCCUAGAAAGCGUAGCAGGUUGUGGAAU